AAGUGUCUGUAGAGUGAGAGGAGCUGUUCUUUGCCAAGACAAACAAACAUCCUCACCUACCUCAACUAUAUUACAUUUUUCUUGAUUGUUCCAGAGCUGUGUUCAGGUUCAUAUCAGCUAUAUCGAGGGAGGUUGUGUAUGAGAAGAGUGCAGUUUGUGAGACACCCACAAAUUACUUGAGAGCAACAGCACUGAAGAGACAGUAGGUAAGGCCUGAAAUACUAAAUGGAAGAUUAAAUAUUGAAUAACUGUACACAACAUGAAAAGCAAUGAAGACAUAUGCAACAGAACAUCAAGAUUUGAUUUAGACCAAGACAACUGACUCCCAUGAUCUUGAAAAGAGCAUUGCAGAAAGCAAGUGCUUUAAUCACUGGUGUUACCUCUCACACGAAGGGCAAAUUGCCAUCUACUGGAAAAUAAGAUCUCCCCUGAUAAUUGAGAGGACCUUCUUCUGUACAGAUUCAGAACUGGAAGUAUCAGUAUUAGCUGUCCAGUCUUAAUGGCUUCCGUGCUGUGGAUAGAAACUACUAACCCAGAUCACUCCUCCUCAGCCAGCAGACUGAUGCUAACCAAAAUAGAUUACAGUUUGUUCUGGGGGCUGGGAAGACAGAAAUUAAAUCUCAACAAAGGCCUGAUUCUGUUUUUUGCAUUUCAUUCUGUACUAUGAAAGGACACUGAACUGUCAUUUACAAAGCAAAAUCUCAUACACAUGUACAGCACUGGACAGGAAUUCAUGACUGCAUUUUAGAUUGCAUCCUAACAAAUGCUGUGCAAUACAAACUGGAAAAUCAAGACACUGAUAGCCUAGUUUUAAAAAAUUCAAAAUACAUAAUUUAUAUGCAGCAGAUGUUUAAGUAUCAUAGUAUGAGCAAUGGCAUAAAAAUGCAGAUACAGCGGGGGACUCCCCAGAUAGGUUAAUGCCAGUAUGAUACGCUAGGCAGAAGUAAGCUUUUAGAACUAAGAAUAUGAAGUGCUGGAAUUUCAAAUAUUAUUAGUCUUCUUUUUCAAGUAAAGGUAAAAAGAAGGCCUUAUGACAGAAGCUGCCUGUAUCUUCAUAUACAUGUGGGUAUAUCUCUCUAUAUAACACGUUAGUAUUUCUGUGUCUUCGUUUGCAUUUGCAGUUGCUGUUAAAUGAUUACACUGACAUUUUCUUUGACAUGACAAACCUUGCUUACAGUCUUCAUUGUACCUAAAAAUCCCUUUUUAUGGCAAAAGGCAAAUCAUACCUGCGUAUCUGAAAAAGCACAAUCAACCAUCUAACAACCUCAUCUGAACUGCAGCGGAGGUAACAUCCCGCAUGCCCACACAUAGUGGCAAGCAGAACUGCUGACCUUUAGUGGCUCUGAGGCAACAAUCCAGUUCAAGAACUGACACAAUGGAAAAUCCCAGGAUGAGAAAGGAAGAAAAGUGCCAGACCUUGCUUUUAAAAGGAAAAGGCUAUCAAGCAAGAAUGGACAGGGUGUUGACAGAACCAAAGGAAUCAGCAAAAAGAACAAAAGACAAAGACUGGAUCUCUACGGGACCAACCCCUAAGGAUGGUAAGAUUUCUGACACAAAACAUGAAAUGAUUCAAGUGUUUGUUGACUCCUUGGUUAAACAUAGAGACUAACCUCUACAUGUGCAUGCAUAUUUACAAAAAAUGCUUCACAAUGCAUAGGUUUUGCUCCAGUCCCAGAAGAAUGUAUACAGGGAAUCUGUACACUGGACUACAGAGCGUGUGGAGCUCUGAAAGGCUGAGGAUAUUCACACCUGUCUAAAGACACAGGAAAUUCAGUCCCUCACCCCCGAGUUCUGCAGUCUGGGUUUGAAAAGCCACCUAGAUUCUACCCACUGGACUUGGAGAGCACUUGGGAUCCCAAGUUUGAGUUAAUGAUUACCAUAAGGGGCUACAUAACUCAGCCUGCUGUGUAAUACUUCCAAAGGAAUUCAUCCCAACAGGAGCAGACGUUGUAUAGGCUGGAUGGCAGACAGCCAUUCGUGUAGCCCUCCAGUCACUGGUGCUUAAACAUAAUGCAGAGGACAAUUAGUCUUAAGUCCUGUUUCCAAACAUGCCAAAAAGCACAUAAGCCGCUUUGCCAAAGCUCAGGAGAUUGCAAGCCAUCCAACUUUCUGUUUUGUAAAAUGUAACCUGCAUUGCUGCAGCUGUUUUCUGUUUCCUUCAACCAAGACUUCCUUGGAAAGAUUUUCUCAACCACAUCAAUCUCAUGCCACCCCAAUCCUGGUGAUGUCCUGCUAGAACUAAGUAACUGAAUAGAAUUCAUUUUCUCACCCUUCAGAUGUUCCUUUCCAGGCAGCAGUGGGAAAUUUUAGAAGGGCAGUAGGGGGAAAAGAAUUUACUUGGGUCGUCCAAGCUGCACCUACUCAGGGAAUACAGAAAGGAUUCAAGGUUCCAGCCCUUUCCAUCUGGUACUAUUUACUGAUCCCAUAGCUCAUUCACUGGCUCAGCAGGGGAACUGAGACACUGGGCUUAGCUGGUUAGAAACUGGUACACAAAAAAAUGCACAUGAUAUAUUGAUAUGUUUAUUUGAGAGGUUUUGCCUAAGUAUUGUCACAGCACACAGCUAAAAUUAUGGAAGAGACCUACUGAGUUCAUCCCUUUAGCACCCAGGGCCAGUGAAAAUUUUCCAAACAAUGUAUGAUUUACAGCUUGCCCUGUUCAGCUAAAUUGUAACUCCAAAUAUAUAUUUCUAUUUAACACUGCUGAAAGCGUUAGUGAGGAUAAGGACAGUGCAGGAGGCAAAGAUGGACAUAUAAGGCGACUGGAAGAUAUAUGGAAAAUAUGAAUAAAUCUAAUGGCCACUGCAGUUGCAAUGAACAAUAAUCACUUGACUUAAAACUGCGCAUACAUAUCAUUUCUACGUGACACUUUGCAAUAAAUAAGCACGGAAUAGAUGCUCUUUAAAGAGUAGUUUAAAAUCCAUGCUCAACAUACUUUCACCAAUAAAAGAAAUUACAGGGGAGGAAAAAAAGCUUUGAUCACAAGAACAAAACCUGAAGCAGCUGCUUCUACUCAUACUAUAAUUUUUCUUCCUGGAUGUGAGCAAAAGCUAUUUUAUUUUUCAUGUACAGUAGAUUGGGUACUGGGAAAUGAUUCUCUCAUUAGAAACCAAACAUUUUAAAUAUUAAACUGUUCAGAAGUUAUAAACAUAAUUACAUAACUUUCACCAGAGUUUAAGUAUUAUCUAGAUAUAUAUUCAAAGAUAAGACAGCUCACAUGUGCUUUGAUAGCCAACCUGAGAACAUGUUUCUUCUUUUAUUGCUGAGAUUUUAAGCUAUUUUUCCUGUAAAAUCCAAAGCUUGCCAAAUGCUCGUGAGAAUAAACCUGAAGUUUGUUAUGUUGGUAUCAAAAUAACAAUCCAUUUUUGAGUAU
This is a long non-coding RNA of Tyto alba (common barn owl), 3370 nucleotides long. RefSeq lists it as uncharacterized. The transcript has 2 exons. The record is from RefSeq and is a predicted model, not a curated record. Lineage: Eukaryota; Metazoa; Chordata; Aves; Strigiformes; Tytonidae.